This is a long non-coding RNA of Pseudoliparis swirei, 492 nucleotides long. RefSeq lists it as uncharacterized. The transcript has 3 exons. NCBI's taxonomy places the organism in Eukaryota, Metazoa, Chordata, Actinopteri, Perciformes, Liparidae. The record is from RefSeq and is a predicted model, not a curated record.
UUAAUAAAGCUGUCCCUAAGGAAAAUUCAAGCCUUUGUUUCAGUGCUUUUGUUGUUUUGUGGCAUUUCUAAGAAGAAUCUCCUUUUAAGGUAAGUAAAUUGCACAUAUAUGUAAAUAUUUAAAUUAGUAGAAGAGCAGUUUGAACAGGUAAUUAAGACAAUGUACUCUUAUCUUGUAACAUUUAAUGAAUUUGCCCUUGCCACCUUUCAGACAUUGCAUUCAAACUUGAGGUGCUGGUUUUCAUGACACGCAGGAAAACGAAGUAGAGAGAGAGAGAGACAGGAAACACAGUGGAUUGAGAGGGAAUGAUCUGCAGCAAAGAGCCCACGAGGAAUCAAACCUUUGUAACGAUAUACAGGCUUAACCAGGCUGCAGAGAGGAUCCUCCCAAUCCACAGUGAAGAUGGUCAACAUGCGAGUCCUCAAGCAGAACUUCCUGAACAGCUCAGCUUCCUGAACUGUGUGUCCGUGUGAGACCCGAUGACUCGUUAUG